This 492-nucleotide ribosomal RNA is filed under the name uncultured bacterium. RNAcentral's name for it is "partial 16S ribosomal RNA". It matches the Rfam family "Bacterial small subunit ribosomal RNA", at positions 29 to 507 of the family's 1533-position model. The record is from RNAcentral.
AGUGAACGCUGGCGGUAGGCCUAACACAUGCAAGUCGAACGGCAGCACCGUCAGAGCUUGCUCUUACGUGUGGCGAGUGGCGGACGGGUGAGGAUUACAUCGGAAUCUACUUUUUCGUGGGGGAUAACGUAGGGAAACUUACGCUAAUACCGCAUACGACCCACGGGUGAACGCAGGGGAUCUUCGGACCUUGCGCUCUUGAAUGAGCUGAUGUCGCAUUUGCUAGUUGGCGGGGUACAGCCCCACCAAGGCGACGAUCCCUAGCUGGUCUGAUAGGGUGAUCAGGCACCCUGGCACUGACAAACGGCCCAGACUCCGAGGAAAGGCACCCGGGGGGAAUCUUGGAAAAUGGGCGCAAGCCUGAUCCAGCCAUACAGGGUGGGUGAAGAAAGCCUUCGGGUGGGAAAGCCGAUUUGGUGAGAAAGAAAAGCGGCAAGUUAAAACCUCGCUGUUCUGACGGUACCCAAUGAAUAAGCACCGGCUAACUUCGUG